GGAAAUCAUUGAUACGAGAGGAAGUCACAGCAGGCAAAAGAAGUGGGGACAUAGCAAAAAAAAUUGCAAACACAAUCCCAAAAUGCUGAGAGUGAAAAUUUAUGGACUAAAUACUCGUUAGCAAGAAGAAAGCAAGCAGGUACAAGCCAGCAAACAGCAUUUCCACAAGGAUGCACCAACCGGCAGAUCACUGCCAGAAAGCAAUUGAAGCCUUUCUAUUAGACUUACGUAGCAAGGGUUCAGUAGUGGGGUUCUGACCGCAGCCUCAUUCCCUUGUGCUGCUCUGUGGGAGGAGGUAGAAGAGGGCAGAUUUCGGGAAG
This 320-nucleotide long non-coding RNA is filed under the name Gallus gallus (chicken). Lineage: Eukaryota; Metazoa; Chordata; Aves; Galliformes; Phasianidae. The record is from RNAcentral.